AAGAUCUUACCCAUUUUGAUGAAAUUAUUUAUCAACUAUCUAUCAGUUUAUAAAACAAAAAUAAAAUAACAAAAUAAAUAAAUUCAAGUUUUAAAACACAGCUCGUCUCUCGUCACUAGAUUAUGAUUCUCUAUUUAGAUGUGCAUGUAGAUUAAAAAAAUCAAUGAUGGUACACCGAGAACUUGUUGGGUAUAACCAUCGAGAUUACAGCCGGCGAUGUAUGAAAAAAAAAUCGUAAUAUACUACAGUGUCUGCUGAACUCCAAUCAUUCACUCGAUACUCGAUGCAACGCUGAUAUGACGCUAGUUUACUUCUGGGUGCUCGGCCUUCUUGGAUUACAAUCACAACUAAACGCAGAUGCUUUUUUUCUGCAAACAAAAUGCGCAAGUGAGUUCGAGUACAGGGAAACGUUCAUUUGUCUUCCGUAGUAUACCUGGUAGCUGUCAUAUUGAUGUACAAAAAAAAAUUCGCUGUCGUCGAGAGUAAAGAAUUUGGCGGUAAAUUUGAAAAUUGAACAAAUCAAAUAAAUUUAGGAGGAUGGAAAAAUAAACUGGUAAAAUUAUUUAUUAAAAAUUUUAUAAAAAUUUUUUAUUGGUAAGUCGGAUUAACUUUAAAAUCUAGGCGUUUCUUAAUACAAUUACAAUACAUAUUAAUUAUAAUAAUAUUUGAUUGAGAGAGAACAAGUAAAAAGUUCAUUAAAAAAAAGUAAUUAAAUUAAAUAAGAAAAACUUGGUCAUCUGCGAGCAUUAUUUGAUUAUUUUCAGUCAUUUUGUGUAAAGCAGCUUUUAUUUCUCCGGCAGUGAACUCGGGAGUGUGAUUUUUAUUGACAAACUCUUUUACUUUGUCAAGAGCAAGAGUUUGCGAGCGUUGCUGUUGGAAUAAU
Microplitis mediator is the source of this 883-nucleotide long non-coding RNA. RefSeq lists it as uncharacterized. The transcript has 2 exons. The record is from RefSeq and is a predicted model, not a curated record. Lineage: Eukaryota; Metazoa; Arthropoda; Insecta; Hymenoptera; Braconidae.